CCUACGGGGUGCACCAGUGGGGAAUAUUGCACAAUGGGCGCAAGCCUGAUGCAGCCAUGCCGCGUGUAUGAAGAAGGCCUUAGGGUUGUAAAGUACUUUCAGUUGGGAGGAAGGCGUUGAUGCUAAUAUCAUCAACGAUUGACGUUACCAACAGAAGAAGCACCGGCUAACUCCGCGCCAGCAGUCGCGGUAAUACGGAGGGCGCAAGCGUUAAUCGGGAUUACUGGGCGUAAAGCGCACGCAGGCGGUUGAUUAAGUUAGAUGUGAAAUCCCCGGGCUUAACCUGGGAAUGGCAUCUAAGACUGGUCAGCUAGAGUCUUGUAGAGGGGGGUAGAAUUCCAUGUGUAGCGGUGAAAUGCGUAGAGAUGUGGGGGAAUACCGGUGGCGAAGGCGGCCCCCUGGACAAAGACUGACGCUCAGGUGCGAAAGCGUGGGGAGCAAACAGGAUUAGAUACCCCCGUAGUC
RNAcentral lists this ribosomal RNA (465 nucleotides) under uncultured bacterium. RNAcentral's name for it is "bacterial SSU rRNA". It matches the Rfam family "Bacterial small subunit ribosomal RNA", at positions 338 to 795 of the family's 1533-position model. The record is from RNAcentral.